This 377-nucleotide unclassified non-coding RNA is filed under the name soil metagenome. RNAcentral's name for it is "partial contains 5.8S ribosomal RNA, internal transcribed spacer 2, and large subunit ribosomal RNA". The stretch from base 1 to 120 matches the Rfam family "5.8S ribosomal RNA", at positions 35 to 154 of the family's 154-position model. The record is from RNAcentral.
GAUGAAGAACGCAGCGAAAUGCGAUAAGUAAUGUGAAUUGCAGAAUUCAGUGAAUCAUCGAAUCUUUGAACGCAUCUUGCGCUCCUUGGUAUUCUGAGGAGCAUGCCUGUUUGAGUGUCAUUAAAUUCUCAACCGCACUGACUUUGAAUUGGUGUGGCUUGGAUUUGGGGGGAAAAUUGUUGUGGGCUUUUUUGUAUAGUCUGCUCCCCUGAAAUUGAUUAGCGGUACCUUUGUGGAACUGUCUACAGGUGUGAUAAUUAUCUACAUCCUAGACAUCUGCUGGAAUGCUGCUUUCUAAACCUUACUUGUAUUGACAAUCUUGACCUCAAAUCAGGUAGGACUACCCGCUGAACUUAAGCAUUUCAAUAAGCGGAGGA